UGCAAGUCGAGCGGUAGAGAGAAGCUUGCUUCUCUUGAGAGCGGCGGACGGGUGAGUAAUGCCUAGGAAUCUGCCUGGUAGUGGGGGAUAACGCUCGGAAACGGACGCUAAUACCGCAUACGUCCUACGGGAGAAAGCAGGGGACCUUCGGGCCUUGCGCUAUCAGAUGAGCCUAGGUCGGAUUAGCUAGUUGGUGGGGUAAUGGCUCACCAAGGCGACGAUCCGUAACUGGUCUGAGAGGAUGAUCAGUCACACUGGAACUGAGACACGGUCCAGACUCCUACGGGAGGCAGCAGUGGGGAAUAUUGGACAAUGGGCGAAAGCCUGAUCCAGCCAUGCCGCGUGUGUGAAGAAGGUCUUCGGAUUGUAAAGCACUUUAAGUUGGGAGGAAGGGCAGUAACCUAAUACGUUGCUGUCUUGACGUUACCGACAGAAUAAGCACCGGCUAACUCUGUGCCAGCAGCCGCGGUAAUACAGAGGGUGCAAGCGUUAAUCGGAAUUACUGGGCGUAAAGCGCGCGUAGGUGGUUUGUUAAGUUGGAUGUGAAAUCCCCGGGCUCAACCUGGGAACUGCAUUCAAAACUGACAAGCUAGAGUAUGGUAGAGGGUGGUGGAAUUUCCUGUGUAGCGGUGAAAUGCGUAGAUAUAGGAAGGAACACCAGUGGCGAAGGCGACCACCUGGACUGAUACUGACACUG
Molecule: ribosomal RNA, 697 nt
Filed under: Pseudomonas sp. SH-1-11
Lineage: Bacteria; Pseudomonadati; Pseudomonadota; Gammaproteobacteria; Pseudomonadales; Pseudomonadaceae
Description: bacterial SSU rRNA
Rfam family: Bacterial small subunit ribosomal RNA
Source: RNAcentral